AUGUCAAGAAGGAAGGCUUAACCCCCAC
Molecule: non-coding RNA, 28 nt
Filed under: Cricetulus griseus (Chinese hamster)
Lineage: Eukaryota; Metazoa; Chordata; Mammalia; Rodentia; Cricetidae
Source: RNAcentral